CCUUGGGAUCUGCCUGCCUUGGCCUCCCAAAGUGCUGGGAUUACAGGCGUGAGCCACUGCACCUGGCAUAAUUUUGGCUACUCUUAAUCAACCCCAGAAGGUUUAAUAAGAACUUUGAUUAGCUACUUUCUAGCUUCAUGAAUUUACCAAGCUAUUCCUGGUUUUGCACCUUUAAGAAACUCAUUUUUUAAAUCUGAUGAAUAUAUGUCCAUAAGAAGCUUUACUUGGUUAAAAUUAAAUACAUACAAAAUUGACAGAAAAAUUAUUUUGUCAAAGAAAAAUGAACGAAGAGUAGUGUCAUUUUUCAUUGUCACAUUCAUUUCUCUAAGAAAUGGAUCUGUCCUUCAACAUCUCCUCCUAGCCCAUACUGUUUGAAUAUAGAGGGCUCUUGGGCCAUGGUCCGGGGAUUAUUUAUAAUCAGCAACAAGGGGUUACAGUGUCAUGGCUUACAAUUUGGUGGGGUGGGACCAGGGACUAGUUGGAGUUUUUUGUUUUGGUCGUCAUAAUUUAUUUGAAGCAGGGAGCUUGGCUCUCCACCCUUUGUACUUAUUAGUCCACCAAACAUCUGCCCAGUCACCACUGGGACUUUUAACACUCCAUACUUAUACAUGCUUGAUUUUUUGUGGUAUAGACAUAGACACUUAUCAACAUGGGCUAGCUUCUUUUGACCUUGCUCAUCUCCAUACGGGAUGACUGAACAGGCAUCAAACUGAAGGGUUAAAAAAUGACUAGCCUGAGUUACACUGAUGACAAGAUGACCUUCUGUUGAAAAGAAAAAAGAGAAUAAAUAAGUGAUUAUUAAGCUCUUUUUAGAGUUAAUUUGGUGGGGGUGGGCUGUGGAGUGACAGUUCAUGAUUCUGGAGGUGGCGGCACCUUCUUGACUCGGGUGUGAUGAGUCCAUCCUCUUUCUGUUGUCCAGACUGCAGUCUCAGUACAUAGGAGCACUAGGUAGGGUCCUUCCCAGGCUGGUUCGAGCUUCCUUUUCUUCUACCCUUGGAUGAGAACAUGGUCUCAAGGCCAAUGCUGAUGUUCUGGAAACUCCAGGGGUGAUGCCUGUGCUAGGAGACCUUUAGUCCCAAGGGAAAAGAAGGUAGAGCCUAGACCAAGUAUAUAAUUUUUGAGGAAAUGAUCCUUUGUUUCAAACAUAGGGAUGUCAGCAAUGGAGUGUAAGUAGGGCAUUCCAUAGAGCGUUUCCUCAGGUGACAGGCCAAUAUCUUUCCAAGGGGCAGUCCGGAUUCUUAACCAAGCAAUAGGAGUAUAUUUAGUCCAUGGCAAUCGAGUUUCUAAAACUAAGUUAAGUGGUUUAUUAGAGUCUGAUUCAUCCACUCUACUCUUCCUGUGGAGGAUGGAUGCCAAGGAGUAUGGUAUUCCCAAUGUAUAUCUAGUACCUGUGCUAACUUCUUAAUGACAUGCACAGUGAAAUGGGUUGCAGUAUCUGAAUCAGUAUUUUCUAUUAGUUCAAAUCUGGGUAUGAUGUUUUCAAUUAGCGCUUUAACUACAUUACUGGAGGUUGCACGUGAGAAUGGGAUUGCCUCUACCCAGUGGGUAAAAUGGUCUAUUAUUACUAAUAAGUAUAACUACCAAUUGGAGGCAUUUCAGUGUAAUUGAUCUGAACACUUUGAAAUGGUCUCAGUGCUGGAUUUCUUCCACCAAGGCGCAAUUUCCUUAGAUCCUGCUUAUUAGCUUUUUUUACAUGUUAAGCAACUAUCUAUAACUUGUUUGGCCAGGGUGUAAAUUCUUAUACACCCAUAAACCCGGAGAACUGCAUUGCACAUUGCUUGGGGUCCCCAAUGGGUCCCUUGAUGUAAUUGAGACAAGACUUCCCUCAUGAGAGGUUUUGACAACAUUUCCCUUUGAUCUGAUAAUAUCCAUUUCCUAUCCGCAUUUUCUUUAGCUCCUAUUUUUAUCAACGUCUUUUGUUCAAUGGAAGAGAAAACGGGUUACAGUAGGAGGAGGGCAUGGAGUUAAAUGGAAGAAAUGGCAACUUGUUUUGCUAUUUUAUUGUAACCGACUGAGUUAUAGAGAGAAUGCCACAGUCUGAGACUAAUUCAGUGAUCCUUUAUUGCCAGCAACCGAGAGACGGCUAGAGCUCAAAAUUCUCUCAGCCCCGAAGAAGGGGCUACACAUCUUUUUACACCUUGGUCUAAAGAGGGGAGGAGGAGUGUAGCUGAAGCAAUUUUUUACAGAAGCAGAACAGGCAAAAAAGUUGAAAGAUAAAUGGUUACAGAAACAGUAAUAAGAAAAUAAACAGUUCCAGGUGCAGGGGCUUAAAUUAUCACAAAGUGAUAAACGCAAAGGCUUUGGGCACCGUCAACCGAGUGCGUUCCCAGGAGCUGCUGGUACAGCUUGCCUCAGUAUCUUAUCAGUAAGCGCAUUCUUGGAUGUGCUUGGAGUCAGCUUGCACCAGUUAUGUCCUUAAGGGAGGGGGACAAGGGGCUGCAAGUGAAGAAACCAAAAUGGAGUCUGUCCAGCUCUCUCAGCUAAGAGAGAGUCAAUCAGGUUAAAAGAAGUUAGGGUAUCACAUUUCCCACUCGUGUUUGGGGGAAUCAGAUCAUUGAUUCCUCGGUUAUAACAAGGGUGUUAUAUUGGGUUCUAAGAUACAUAAGAUUGACAGAAGCUAUGCGUUGCUUUACAAAAUUAAGAAACCAAUUUAAUAUACAAGGCCUGAAGACUAACCCUAACAAGAGGAGGAGAAGGGGGUCCCGCCAACCCAGUAAUUAGAGUAGUUAGCCAGGGAUUCCAGUUAAACAUGCUUUGGUACUUUGGUACUCCAGGAAUGAGAAAGGUGGUGUUACUUUCUUGUUCCUUCUGGCAUCUAUCUAGAUUUUCUCGAACUCUUUGAAGAGUAUUUUUUAUGACUCCAGACUGAUUGGCAUAGAAACAACAACUUUCUUCUAGAGCUGUGCAUAAACCUCCUUGGGAGAUAAAUAGCAGAUCUAAGCCUCGGCGGUUUUGAAGAACUACUUCAGCUAGAGACUCUACCUGGGCAUGUAGUAUAUUUAUGGCUGAUUGGAGAUUGCUUAAAUCAGCAUCUACCUGUUGAGAUAGUGAUAUUAGUCCAGUUUCUCCUUGAAUCAGGGCAGUCGUGCCAAUAGCUGCUGACGUAGCUAUGCUAAGGCCAGCUAGAAGGGGUACAAGGAGUAGGGCAGCUCGGUGAAACCUGAAAUGCAAUUCAGGGGGAGCAAUGAGAAGUUGUCCUUCUGGCCCACUGUACAUGUAGAUCUGGGGGAGUACAUGAAUCAACAUGCAUAGGAGAGGUCCAGGUUCAGUCCCAUUGAUGCAGCGAGUGAGGCCUGAAAUGCAGGCCAACCAGGUAUUUUUGGGUGCCUGGUAGGAGACUGAGGGGUUUAAGGAAGUAAGGAGAGACUCACUACAAGUAGCCUGAAAGGGAGAAGCAGGUAAGUUAUACCUUGCGCUAAUUAGACAGAAGGCAUUCCCUGACACAUCUCCUAGUGUAAGGGCAUGGGGGCACGUAUGACAAGAAAGAGAGUCCAUUUUGAGCAUGGCUUCUACUCCUAAUCCAACAUAAUAUGGGGGUUUGGCCUUUCGGCACAACCAGCAAUCUCAGGCUAGUUUAGGCUUGGUGAGAUUAAGGAGGUGAUGUAUCCCGUCCAAAAUGGACAUCGGGCUGGGUUGGAGGUAUUGUCAUUGCAGCUGGGGUCUCAGAACCAGGAAUGGCAGUGGGACAGUUAAAUCGACUCUCUCUGGGUGUUUUUGGAACAUAGGGUCACCUAAAUCAGUUAAAGUUCUGAUUGGCUUCAUGGGACCAGGAAUUUUUUCUGGAUGGUGAACAUAGUUCCAACAUCAAAUCCUGAAAUAUAAAGCCUUAAUCCCUAUGACAUGCUGUAAUACCAUUGAGUUAAACUAGGGUUACGGAGAGUUAUAGUAAGAGGAUUACAAUUUCCUAUAGUACACGGCUUAGGAUGGGAAGCACAAGCUAUGGAAAGGGUUGAGGAUCAGGUUCAUCCUCCAGAGUAAGUGGCCAAGGUUACACACAUGCAGUAAGGGCAGAAAAACUGGUAAGAAUCUCGACAACUAGAGUCAGGGCGAUUUCCAGGACAAAGGUAAAAGUCAACGCUCUGGAGCCUUUUUUCUGCACCCUUAGAACUUCCACAUCCAGUUUGGCUUCUGGUGUGUCCGAACCCUGCAGCAAGGUCAGCGUUCCCUGCUCUCAUGAUCGGCAGAUUGCAUUGCUCUUCAAGGGUAUGGGCAGGGUCGGGGAACAAAGCACAUAAACCGACUACAAAAGAGACUUCCUUGGAGGGUCCCACCUUCCAAGUGGUGUUUGCAAACACACAUCCUGUCAUGAAGGAAGUGAGGAGAAAAGAGUAGGAAGGGGCAGAGGACAUAACAGGUGGAAACAGACAGAAGAGGUAAAUAAAAAGAAUUAAUUCGAUAGCUUUACUCAACUUAGGCGCAGUUUUAAGGGGCCUGGCCUAGGCUUGGGGACCCAUUUUUUUUGCUGGGCUUUGUUGGCCUUUUUGAUGCGAGAAUGAUGAAUCCAAGCAGGAGUGCCGUCCACCUUCAGAGCUGUUGGUGUGGUGAGGAUGACAGUAUGAGGUCCUUUCCAGGCAGGAGUCAGUCCUUUUUUCUGGAACUUUUUAACAUACACUAGGUCACCCAGCUGGAAAGAGUGGCAGGGCCCAGUCUGGUCAGGAACUGGGCUGGGGUGUGCUCCCCUGACAAGCAGCUGGAUGAUGUCUUGUACCCGUUGGAGAGACUGCAGGUACUGUAACAAGUUAGCUUGUGAGAUUUCUGCUAAAUGGGUAUCCUUUAGCUUAGGCAAGAUAGGCGGAGCCCUUCCAUACAUGAUUUCAAAAGGUGAAAACCCAGCCUGGUAAGGGGUGCAUCUUACUCUAAGAAGGGCUAAAGGAAGGAGCUUUACCUAGUUUUCACUGGUUUCUAGGAUUAAUUUUGCAAGAGUACUUUUUAGGAUGGGGUUCAUGCAUUCUACUUGUCCAGAGCUCUGGGGUCGAUAGGCACAAUGGAGUUUCCAUUGAAUGUUUAAUGCCUUGCUGACCGACUGAGCUAUGGACGAGGUGAAGGCUGGUCCAUUAUCAGACCUUAUUACAACAGGCAGUCCAUGUUGAGGGAUGAUUUCAUUGAGUAAAAGCUUAACUACCGUGGUAGCAGUUUCGUUUUUGGUGGCAAAUGCCUCAGUCCAUCCAGAAAAGGUGUCUACUAGCACCAGGAGGUAUUUAUACCCUGCCAAGUGUGGUUUUACCUCUGUAAAGUCAAUUUCCCACCUUCCUCCUGGCAAGCCUCCCUGGAGGCGGUGGCCUGGGCUGGGCUUAGGACCUUGCUUGGUGUUUACUUGGGCACAAGCCGUUUACUGGAGAGCUGCUUGGUUAGUUAAGUCCUGAAGGUGGGGGAUCUUGAAAUGGCUCCUUAGAAGCUGGGCCAGUUUUACUCCUCCUAAAUGGGUGGUAGAAUGUAGAUGAUUGAUAAAAGUUUCCCCAAGGGCUUGGGGCAUGAAGAUUCUGGAAUCAGGAAGAAUUCACCAACCUUCCUGAUUUUUACUGGCUUGAAGAUCCGAAGCUUGUUUUUCUUCCUCUGGGGAGUAUUCUGGGUAGUCUGCCCAGUCAGUUGUGGAAAGGACACAGAGGGCAGCAGGGUUAAAGGCACGACCAGGAGCUGAGCUGCCUCUCAAGCUGCAGAGUCUGCUCUUUGGUUACCACGAGCAAUGGCCAUGUCUUCUCUUUGAUGUCCUUUGCAGUGAAUUGCAGCCACCUGUUGAGGGAGCCAAACAGCUUCAAGCAGGGCUAAAAUUUCUUCUUUGUUGUUGACACUCUUUCCUGCUGAGGUAGGAAAUGCUGGGAAGAAAAAGCUGGGCCUUCUUGGCUGGGACCUGAUACCCGAAUUCCUGAAGGAGGUAAAGUAGGUCCGUAGUAUGUUGCAGGCAGCUGUCAGUAGUUUCAGUAGCCAAUAACAGGUCGUCUACAUACUGGAGAAGAGUGCAGUUAGGGUGACUGGCUCAGAAUGGUAAAAGAUCCUGUUGGAGGGCUUCCCUAAAAAGGGUGGGGGAAUUUUUAAAACUUCGGGGUAACCAAGUCCAGGUUAAUUGGGUGGUGUCUACCGAGCCAGGAUAUGUCUGUUCAAAAGCAAAGAUAGGUUGACUUUUGGGGCCAGAGGAAUAGCAAAAAAAAGCAUCCUUGAAGUCAAGGACAGUGUACACCAUAUGUUCUGGUGGGAGCAGGCUGAGUAAAGUAUAAGGGUUAGAGACAGUUGGAUGGACAGUGACUGUCUGCUUGUUACCUUCCUGCAAGUCCUGUACAGGCUGGUAAUCAUUUGUUCCGGGUUUCUGGACCGGCAAAAAUGGAAUAUUCCAGGCGAUCUCACAUGGUGUGAGUAUACCAGCUUGUAAUAGUUGCUGAAUAUGAGGAUUAAUUCCCUCUAUAGCCCACAGAAUCAUAGGAUAUUGUUUGACCUGGACCGGCAGGGUGGUGGCCAGGAGUUCUACAACAGCUGGCAGAUGGUGGUUUGCCAGUCCUGGGAGGUAUGAGGAAACAGAGUCUGUAAAGCCAGUAGGAGAGGAUUACUUUUAUUCUCCGGCAGUUGUGAGGGUGAAACUAAGAGAUAUUCCUCUGACCGAAGGGUGGUUAGCAGGAGCUGAGCAGUAGGGGGCAUUGUGUCCCCUAACAUGAGAUAUGGUCCCUCUCUUCAGAGGUGAAAAGGGAUGAAAGGAGUUGCUGACACUCAUCCCAGAGUGUCCAGAGUUUGCCUUUUUUAAGGCGGACCCCGUAAUCAUCUGAGAAGCCUAGAGAGAAAUUCUGCAACAUACACUGGAGAGGACUCCAAUCUUUAUGGGGCCGGGAAGAAGAGUUUACUAUUCUGGAGGCAAUUAACAAGGUUUGAACAAAAAUAUUAAACCCAGCAUGGACAAAGAUAUUCACGGCCUGGGAGGCUAUGGUAUCAGAAGAACAGAAGUAUUAUAGCUAGAAGAAGUAGGAAAACAACUAUAGCCAAUAUUUCUUGCCACAUAAGGUCUGUCUCCUCAAGCUUCGAGAUCUAUGGAGAGGAUAAGAGGUGGGUCCAAGGGAUCCUCAGCCAGUGGGACUUAGGUGACCCCCCCUUCUUGACUUAUAUCCCAAAUAACUUUGGUGUCUCCACGACUCGAAAGCAAAAUGUUCAAACUCGGUCCUUUCCUUCACGGGUUUAAGGAGGGAGAACACAGCCAAGUCUUAGAGACGCUGGACUUGCUGCAACACAGGAAAAUGAGAUGUGCAGGGUAAGGGAUGGGGAUGAGGAGGAAAGGGGCCACUUGGAUUUCCCUAAAGGUUGGAGAGUAGCCAAAAGAGGUAAAAUAAGAGUCCAGACAGAGUAGAGCAGUAUGGGUGUAGGUUUCUCUGCACAGUGCCUUAUUUAAGGGCAUGGGAAAAGUUAUGGGAUGACAGAAAAGGUGAGUAAGGAGGUCAGCAGGGUGGCUAUUUUGGAUCCACCACUGGUCUAAGGAGAAGGUGGACCAGUCGUUGGGGCGUGGGGUAUGGCAAUCCAAACGCCAGCAAUCUUUAUGGUGCCAGAAAUCCUAAACGGGUGAAUGUCUUCCACACCCUUCCCCAUAACAACACCUAAUUUGUUUCUGACAGGAAAGGCAGGACUGGGAUGGCCAGCCCAACCGACUAAUGAGGAAUUUGACCUCCUGGGAUAGAAAAUCUGUACUAAGGACCUUGAAGAAGUCCUUGCCCAGUCAUUUUGGGCAGUAUCGACGAUCCGACAUAUGAAAUUUAGACAGACACUAAACAGGACAAUAGGCACUGGGGUAUAUAAACAAGCAUGGCAAUUUUUAUAGACAGACAAGGGGAGGGGGUCCCGUGAUGGGAUCAGUCAGAUGCCCUCCUGGCUGCUCCCCUUUCGGGGACUUAGGCUCCUCUUGGCAUUGGCAGGCUGGUAUAAACCCCUGGCUUGGAUCGAGCUAUGCCUGAUGCCGCCCUAAGCCUUAUGAGGUCACCACGGAACCACAGGUGAGGGCCUUCUCGAAUUCCCUAGCUUUCACCCUGGAGCUACAAACUGGAAAUUCAAGCGCAAGCCCUUGAACUCCACAUUCACUCACUCACUCACUCACUCAGAGUUUAUUACAAUUUUUAUACCCAUUCUAAAACAGAGAUCUCCCGGAGACCUGAAUGAGAGAGGGAGAAGAGAUAGAGAGAGAGAGAGACUAGACUUAACAGAGAAUCCUGACAGAAACCAGGACUCUGUCCUCCAGUGUCCUGGAGCAUGGACAGAGUCUGAGGGAGGACCUUCGUCAGGGCCGUUUCCCUCCCAGAGAGACAGAGUCAGAUCUGACUUACCUUCCCGGGACUAGAGACUGAGGACUCAGGAGUUGAAUUUGGCUGGGCGCACCGGCAGUCGAUCCGUUCCCCUCCAGAAGACAGUGGCCUGUGGAGCCCUGGAACGUCUUCAGGUGGCCCUGUAAGCCAGCUGUCUGUCUGGGGAAGCCCGGAAUGAGUCAGGUCUUCACCCGGUGGCGAAUCUCUCUGGGGCUUCCAAAUGUCGUAACCGAGCAAGUCAUAGAGAGAAUGCCACACUCUGAGACUAAUUCAGGAGUCCUUUAUUGCUGGCGACUGAGAAAGAGCUAGAGCUUGAAAUUCUCUCGGUCCGGAAGAAGAGGCUAGAGUUCUUUUUAUACCUUGGCCUAAAGAGGGGAGGGGGAGUCUAGCUGAAGCAAUUUUUUACAGAAGCAGAACAGGAAAAAAUUAAAAGAUAAAUGGUUACAGAAACAGUUACAGGAAAAUAAACAGUUCCAGGUGCAGGGGCUUAAAGUAUCCCAAAGUGAUAAAAGCAGGGGCUUUGGAUACCACCAACCAAGUGUGCUCCCAGGAGCUGCUGGUACAGCUUGCCUCAGUAUCUUAUCAAUAAGCGCAUUCUUGGAUGUGCUUGGAGUCAGCUUGCACCAGUUAUGUCCUUAAGGAGGGGGACAAGGGGCUGCAAGCGAAGAAACCAAGCUAAGACUCUCUCAGCUAUUGACUCUCUCGAUAUUGACUCUCAAUUGAGUCUCCCAAGCUAUUGACUCUCUCAGCUAAGAAAGAGUCAAUCAGGAUAAAACAAGAUAGGGUAUCACAAUUUGAUCUGCAAGAUUAUUUCCUGGACUUGUGAAAGGCGAGUCGUUUUGGUGCCCUGGGACAUGUACAAUAGCUAUCUCUUCUGGCAAUUGGAGAUUGUUGAGGACACGAGCAUCAGUUCUCUAUGAACUAAAUCUUGGCCUCUACUAUUGAUAAGAGCCCUCUCCAUCCAAAUUUUCCCAAAUGUGUGUGCCUCCCCAGAGGGAUACUUAGAGUCAGUAUAGAUAGAUUUUCUUGGUUUUGUAAAUGUCCUAAAGCUUGGCUGAGUGCAAACAGUUCACACCCUUGGACAGACCAAUUAUUAGACCCCCUUCCUGAUUUUACUUUUUUAACAGUCUUUCCAUUAAUCACUGAAUACCUAUUAUGUCUCUUUCUUUUAAUCACCUGGGAGGUUCCAUCUAUGAAUAAGUGCCACCCUGUCUUGAAGGGAGUUUUUCCUAAGUCUGGUUGAACUUUCGUAUGGUAAUUAAUUCGAUUUAAACACGCGUGCUCUCUCGUUUUACGUUUGGAUCCCCCGUUAAAGAGCCUGCUGAAUAAAGUGAAUUAUUAGUACUUAAUAUUAAAUCACCUUUUUCCCAGAAAGAUAGCCUCAUAUUUUAAAAUUUUUGAGUUGGUAAUCUCCCUCCUUGCGUUUUGAUUUAAUAUAGUUUUAACUUGGUGGGUUGUGGCCUGAAGCGGCUGGGGAGUAACUUGAAACCUCAGCUGAAGGGACAGCACAGGCUGGGGCGUGGCCUGAAACAGCUGGGGAGUAACCUGAAACCACAGCCGGAGGGACCUGAGAGGGGAACCAAAGGGGCAGGAUUGGGGGCGCUGAAGGAAGGAAGGUGAUUUAGAGGAUCCCAUGUCUUGGUAGGUAUGGGUUGUCUAGGCAUGGGAACUCUUUCCUUUUUAGAAAGGUUGGUUUCUGAUUUUCUCCCUCCAGAGUCUAAAGGGUAAAGGAGAACUGGUCCCUGCCGCCAGCAGAGGGCGUAAUCGAUUUUUCCUGGGACACAGGGCUCUUACUGUUAACAUAUUUGAUUAACAGCUGACAAAUUCGCUCUUCAUUAGACUUAAAUUUUGGCCAGAAAAGUGAGGGCUUAAGGAUGGGUUCUCGAACUUAAAUAAAACAACAAUAUUCUAUCAUCUGCUGUUUUUGUUUAUACUUGGUUCUCUUAUUAUUUUUUCAAUACUUUAGCAUAAGCCCCAAGGGGCUAUCAGAAGGAAAUUCAUCACUCUCUAGACUCUUUAGUUUUCCUGUCUUACUUGAAACGUUCCCCAUCUUAGGGAUUAUGGGGAGGAGGCCCAACCCCUCCUGUGAGAUUUCUACCCUCCCCCUUCCUGGAGGCUUACUGAGGCUUUGGGGAAAGGCUCCAACCCAACCUGUUUGGAUUUCUACCCUCCCCCUUCCUCUUUGUCUACUCUGUCUGUUCCUGACUCUAGUUGACAGAUGGCAGCAUGAGGCCAUAGAGAAGACUCACUCACUCCACAUAACCACCAUACUAAGUCCCAUUCAUACACUGUCAGCCUCCAGCUUAUCCCAACCACCUGGGAAAUACUUUGUCACCUUCGCCAAGUCUCCUACCUUAUUCCAUGCACAAGAAUUUCCUGGUCCUCUUAUUGUUGCGGUCUUGCAAGCUUCUCCUCCCCGCUUUGCUGAGAUCCAGACUUAUUUGUCACAAAGCGGGGGGGGGGCCCUGAUCUCCCUCAACCUAGGGGCACGGUAACUAGACAGUAGGAUGCGUCCCCUCCGGGUGGGGUGACCGAAGGCCCCCUUCCCAAAGGAGAAGAUUCGAGCCCCAAAGUUGGGCUCCAGAACUGUUAGGAAUAACGCUCAAAAUCUUAAGGAAAUUGAACACUUGAACAAAGGAUUCUUAGCAAAGCAAUUUUACUUCUGCGCAGAGAGGUGCCUCCUUGUCCAGUCGCCAUGAGAGCACACCUGAAAAAGGGGCACGAGAGCCUUUACUCCUGACACAAGUACUGCCCCUGUACCCUUUCUCCAUUGGCCAGGGUCAGGUCGUACAAUCUAAACUAAUCCUGGUUGGCUAAACAUUGGAUUUUUUUUAGAUAAGGUGGGCACGUAAAAAAGGCAGAGAAUAAAGGGGAAGGGGUGUCUGUAAUGAGCUAAAAAGUUAGUCCUCUUUCCAAAUAAGGAAAGGAAUGUGAGCAGGUACAGAUACCACCUGGUACUGUGGCAUGCCUGGGCAUGUAACAAAGGAAAAAAGAGAAAAAAGGAGAAAAAGGAAAAAAGGUGGAGGGAUUA
Molecule: long non-coding RNA, 11298 nt
Filed under: Homo sapiens (human)
Lineage: Eukaryota; Metazoa; Chordata; Mammalia; Primates; Hominidae
Description: HSALNT0343596
Source: RNAcentral